Molecule: ribosomal RNA, 242 nt
Filed under: Fidelibacterota bacterium
Lineage: Bacteria; Pseudomonadati; Fidelibacterota
Description: partial 16S ribosomal RNA
Rfam family: Bacterial small subunit ribosomal RNA
Source: RNAcentral
ACAAUGAAGAGUUUGAUCCUGGCUCAGGACAAACGCUGGCGGCGUGCCUAACACAUGCAAGUCAAGGAGAACGUCCCCUUCGGGGGACUAUUAAACUGGCGGACGGGUGAGUAACGCGUAGGUAACCUGCCCCAGAGACCGGGACAACCCAUCGAAAGACGGGCUAAUACCGGAUGAUGCAGCGGAUCCUCAGGGAUAUGUUGUUAAAGGGGGCCUUCGGGUCCUGCUUUGGGAUGGGCCUG